RNAcentral lists this ribosomal RNA (444 nucleotides) under uncultured bacterium. Its description in RNAcentral is "partial 16S ribosomal RNA". It matches the Rfam family "Bacterial small subunit ribosomal RNA", at positions 354 to 796 of the family's 1533-position model. The record is from RNAcentral.
GUAAGGAAUAUUGGGCAAUGGGCGCAAGCCUGACCCAGCCAUGCCGCGUGAAGGAUGACGGCCCUAUGGGUUGUAAACUUCUUUUGUACGGGAAAAAACCACCGGUCGUGACCGGUGCUGAUGGUACCGUAAGAAUAAGCAUCGGCUAACUCCGUGCCAGCAGCCGCGGUAAUACGGAGGAUGCAAGCGUUAUCCGGAUUCAUUGGGUUUAAAGGGUGCGCAGGCGGAAUAAUAAGUCAGUGGUGAAAUCCUACGGCUCAACUGUAGAACUGCCAUUGAUACUGUUAUUCUUGAGUACACUUGAAGUGGGCGGAAUGUGUCAUGUAGCGGUGAAAUGCUUAGAUAUGACACAGAACACCGAUCGCGAAGGCAGCUCACUAAAUUGUAACUGACGCUCAUGCACGAAAGCGUGGGGAUCAAACAGGAUUAGAUACCCCUUAGUCC